GUGAAAACUUAUUCACUAACUCUGCAUGGUGUUGCCAAAGUGAGGGGAAACAGGUUUGCUAAAUUGUGGUGAUAGAAAUGUAUUAGCCUUAGAAGCUAUUGAGGUGGUCCAUUCUAUCCUAGUACAGUG
Small nucleolar RNA from Phyllostomus discolor (pale spear-nosed bat), 129 nucleotides. NCBI's taxonomy places the organism in Eukaryota, Metazoa, Chordata, Mammalia, Chiroptera, Phyllostomidae. The record is from RefSeq and is a predicted model, not a curated record.